This is a long non-coding RNA of Rhagoletis pomonella (apple maggot), 158 nucleotides long. RefSeq lists it as uncharacterized. The record is from RefSeq and is a predicted model, not a curated record. The transcript is spliced from 3 exons. NCBI's taxonomy places the organism in Eukaryota, Metazoa, Arthropoda, Insecta, Diptera, Tephritidae.
GUUUGGUGUUAAAGUGCGUUUUGUUUUUGUGAGCAAUUAUUAAAUAUGGCAAAAAAGAAUUGAAAAAAAAUUAAUUCAACGAGAUUGUACCAACACCAAGUAUGUGGACAGUUUAUGUACAUUGAAGGGAAAGUAUUCUGUUUAACUAUAAAGUUGUG